Oryza rufipogon (brownbeard rice) is the source of this 205-nucleotide microRNA precursor. It matches the Rfam family "MIR812 microRNA precursor family". The record is from Rfam. Lineage: Eukaryota; Viridiplantae; Streptophyta; Magnoliopsida; Poales; Poaceae.
AAAAAGACAAACCCUAGAUUUCCGUGUCCAAUUUUAAUUGUCCAUCUUAUAUAAAUUUUUUUAUAAUUCAUAUAUUUAUUAUUGUUAGAUGAUAAAACAUGAUUAAUAUUUUAUGCGUGAUUUGUCUUUUUAAUUUUUUUCAUAAUUUUUUCAAAUAAGACGGACGGUCAAAUAUUAGGCACGAAAACUAGAGUUUGUCUUUUUU